This is a non-coding RNA of Macaca mulatta (Rhesus monkey), 3631 nucleotides long. NCBI's taxonomy places the organism in Eukaryota, Metazoa, Chordata, Mammalia, Primates, Cercopithecidae. The record is from RefSeq and is a predicted model, not a curated record.
UUUUAUUUAAUAAAUAUGCUUACAUUUGUAAUGAGAAUCUUAUCCUUUUGAAAAAUCAAGUUACCAUUCCAUUUCAUAUGUAGAAUGUGAACAGUUUGCCCGAGUCUGUCACCUUUGUUAUCCCUCGUGUGAAAGCAGUGCUAGGAAUUUUCUGUCUAUAUAUUUGCUUUGCUGGCAGAGGCAAAAACAGUAUAUUUUCAGAGCACAGUGGAAAAGGACUAUGGCUUAACUUCCAUUUUAUGUAGUGAGAGUCAUGGACAUACUUCAUUUAUAGGUUAAAAUAAUGUGGUGCCUGGCUGGUGGACCUGGAAUCCACUGGAUUUUCGGCAGCUACCUGCAUUUUCUUUUAUUACCCCUACUACCUAAUUUCCAUUAAGCCCACUUUGAUUUCCUUUCAGUUUCCUAAUUGGGGUCUGGAGUUGCUUUUUUUUUUUUUAAAUAGCCAUGCUUCUAGAAAUCCAGUUUUCUUUUUCCUUAGAAAUAAUAAUUGUUUAGUUAUUAAGCUAGAAAAAGCCCAAGGGUUUCUUUGAGAGCCCAGUUGCCUACCUCCCCCACCCCAGGUCCGUCCCCGACCGGGCCCCUUGCACCAUGUGUUCUCGCUGCCAGGCUCGCCUGCCCCCCACUGCCAUUCCCACCUGCACAUUUAAGUGCUCUGCAGUCACCGUCCCACUGUCUGCCCAGGUUUCCAAGUGUCUCUCCAAUGCCUAAGGCUUCACGACCCUUCCUGAUCCUUUCCACUGUCACCAUUCCCAGCCCAGUGUGUUUGUCAUGCCUUGUAACCUCCACUACACCUUGUACCUUUCCUUUCUCAGUGGCCACAUUCUGCCUUUCUGGAGUGAAUACUUGCUAUGGCCCUCGUCCCACACCCAGAACUCGAGCACUGAACCCUGUAGGCCAGAAACCAUCUUUUACUGAUAUGUUGAAUCCAGCACUGAGCCUCAGACUCAAUAAGUAACUGUUGAAUUGAACUAAAUCAAGCAUACCUUGUUUGGUCAAUCUGAAUAUUUCCCUCAAAAUUACUUAGAAGUCUUUCUUGAGAAAUGUCUUUUCCUAGCCAACCCAGCAGACUGUCUGACUUAAAACAAUGAUUGACAGACAGAAGAACGUGGCCAGAAAAAAAUGCAACAGAGAGGAUUAAAUGCAAUAUAACCAGGGAUGAGCUACUUGUGAUAAUAAUCUGGAGCGGGGAUGCAAGUAGGGAAGACGGACGUAGACGGCCCAUGUGUUGAUCGCUGUUGAUGGUAGGUGAUGGUGACGGCUCAUGGGAGUUCCUUUUACUGUUCUCUCUACUUAGGUUUACACUCAGCAUUUUUUGUGAUGAAAAGGUUUGAAGACGACGACGGAAGACGGAGAAGCAGCAGCUGAUCUGCAGACUCCGAGGAGGUCCCAGGAAGAGGUGUCACCCACCAAGAUCUUCCGGGACAGGAAAGCCCUGCGAUAUCUCUUAUAUCACACCAAACAGAGCCCCACGCCAAGAAAAGAGCUGCCCGCACCUCACAGAAGCCAUGCUAGUGGACGUUUCUCCACUCUGCAAGCCUCUCAGUGCAGCGGAGGCCAGCCCAGACCAUCCUCUGCCCAGAGCAGCUGCAUUCUAAAUGACCCCUCAGAGAGCCCUCCGGAUGGCCGCCUCUCCCACCGGUCCCUGCAAUCACAUAAAAAACACUCAUUGCAGCCAAGAUGCACAAAGCACGGUAUUGAUUUCAUACUCGGGUUUUUCCAAAACAAAUCAUCAACCCACACCAAUUAUGUCCAAUCAGUUUUAUGGAUAAAGAAGCCUGAGACUCUCCAACAGAAGAGCUUGAGUUUCCCUUUUUACUCUUGUGCUGGGUGUCCUUUUCCUACCUCCAGACCAUGACAAGAAUAUUUGUAAAGUACAUGAGGAGUAGUCCUUUUGCCUAAUGUUGACAGACAAGAGGAAGAUUCCAGGGAGAAAUGCCACAGCAGCAAAUGAAUAUGAAUGAUGCUUUUCCACUUUGUGCUUAUAAAAUGCCUUUGUACCAGAAUCUCAAAGCUCUCCAGGAAGCAAGGCUUUGACUGGGACUUUCACUCAGGGUAAACAUGAGUGGUCAGAGCUUCCCAAGUCAUUUGUGAUAAAGAACAAAAGUCCGGAUACUUUUAAAAUGCAAUAUUCUUGCCUUCUGGGUAGUAAACAAAGUGUGCAGAUGGAUAAUGACAUCUGUGGAUUCUGGCUCCACUUCCUAGAGAGAAAAAAAACAUGUAAAUAAAUAUGUAAAAAAUUGUCAUAUGUGGAUGACACCGUUGGUUCAUCCAGUAGUUACCAUUCUGUCCAACAUUCACGAGCAAUGGAUUCUAUUACUGGGUGCCUUGUGACUGCAUGACACUGAGAAAGUAAAAUAUAUUUAUCUUCAAUGCACGGGGGAAGAUAAAUGCUAUAGAAAUAUUUAGUAAAAAGGUCCAGUCAGUGGCUUUGACACUUGAUGGUUUUGCACUAAGCAACGCUGUCCUUUUGUUCUCUCCAUUGGAAGCCUCCUUGUAAAUGUUUAAUAGCUAAGGGACUCAAUAGGGUCUGCAAAGGUCAGGCCCUUCACUGGAAAGGCAGAGGGGAACUCACAAGCAGUCUCUAUCAGAUUGAUUGGAAGGUUCAUUUGAGAAUUUUUUCCUUCUCAUCCUUAGCUUAAGGUGCAUGUGCAGCAUGAAUAACUGCCUGGGCUCCAGCCACCCACAUGCCUGAAGACCAGACAUGAGUGACUUUGAAACUCUUCCUGGGAUUCAUUUAGGAUAUUAAUCAGCUUCAGAAGAAAACUCACAAAGACUCUAAGAACAAUUCUGUUGCAAAAGUGAUACCUAGCAGAGACAGUCUACCCUUGCAGUCACUUGCACUGUAUCCUGAAAGUCAAUGCUAAGAGCUUGGAAAAGAAUUCGAGUUCAUCAGGUGUCCAGAAAAUAAACUCCUUCAAAUGCAGUCAAAAUAGUUUCAAUAACUUCAAAUACUCUGCUUGUUAUGAAUCUACAGAGCAGCAAUGAAAUAAUUAUCAGUUAAUGAUUAAAUGUCAGAUAGCUAUAACCAAGGGUGUCUUGCUAUUACACUGAAAAAGUGUGUAUUAAGGUUUUGUUGGGGUGCAGAAAAUGAUUCCCCAAAAUAUAGUGCUUUGGCAUGCCGAGUACUUUGAAAAUCGAAAGGUUUUAGAAAUAAGCCUUAGACCCAAGCUCUCUUUCUGACUUUUCUUACCUCCUUGUUUCUCUGAUCCUCUUUCUAGAAGCACCUGGAGGGACUGGACCGACUCUCUGGAAUUUUCUUAUCUAACAAAGCUUCUUUCCAAAAACAAGACAAAAAGGCAAUAGUCGUAAGAACUCCCUUCUUUAGGAAUCUCAUCAAAUGGCCAGGAAAGAAGAGACGAGACAAAGCUGUCACUACACCCAGACUGCUCAUCUGUUCUCUUGAAGGCAGUACUGACAACCUUUGUGCAAGGUGACAUUUCACCCAUCCUCCCAACACCUCCCCCAGAGCUCAGAGGAACUUUCGUCAUUUACUCCUACACACCUCAUCCCCCACUUACCUACGAAGAGAGGGUAUACGGGCAUCUGGACCCUGCUGGGUUAUGAGGUCAUUACUCUUCUGCAAUUCCCCGUGGUAUGCACGUUAAAAUAAACGCAUGCCUUUUCUCCUGUU